CGGAUGAGAGGGAUAGCGGUGAGAGGCGAGUGAUGGACAGAAAGAAAAGUUGUCGAUUCGAGAAAUGUGUGUGAAGGAAAGAAGGGAACAGUAAAGGAGACGAGACGGAGAUGCGAGAGAAGCACAGAUCAAGACACGAAUGAGUGAGACCAGUCAAUGAAUGGCACGCAACGAAUAGGAGAAUGGAUGGCGAAAAGAUGACAAAUUUCCAUCAUGAUACCCCAUACUGUAUGCGAAGCAAGCAAACAAAAAGACAGACAGAAACAUAAAGGCCAGCAUUGGAGCAGUAGACCUAUUUGUAUUACAUGCUACCCCUGCCAGCCUAAAAUCCUGGAGUCCUCAGAUCCAAUCACAGCGCAGUCAUGGCUGCAAACACUGAUGCAGCACCAAUGCUGCAAAUAACACAGAAGAGUGCAGUGAGUCGCAGUGGUUGCUGAUGGAUUGGACUGAGAUCAUCCAGUUGACCAUUCGCCAAUGCAGCACCAUGUUCAGCCCCUCCUGUCGUCGAGGUAGGCUGCAGCCCUUGGGACACAGAAGCCAAGAAAGGAUCAACCUGAACUCCAGCACCGAGAAGCUGCAGGGGUCCCAAGAAUCCUUCCCAUCCGGUGCUGCCAAAGUGCACAGACUCAUAACCUGAGCACAGGGUGAGCAGGCUCCAAGGAACCACCAGAACCCCUCCCCACCCACCUAGCUCCUGGCCCCUGUAAACUCUUGUACAAUUAAGCCAGUGUUCCUGGGUCUGGUGGAAAUCUGAUCAAGUCUGAAAUGCGAUGAAUGGACUACACUUCAUAGACAGAUGACUUACUCCCACUUUUGGGAAUAUAAGAGCAGAAAGUGUGCGUGUUUGAAUUUUGAAAAUGUUUUAAAUGUUUAAACUUGGAUCACAACGUCCUGUAUGUAAUAUUCUGUAAAUGUGUUGAAAUUUAUUCAGAUACAAGUUCAUCACCCAAAAAUGAGCCAAGGUCAAGGAGUCUGGGUCUGAAAAAAAGUCUCCUUUUAUCCAUCCAUCCAUCCAUCCAUUUUCUGAGCCGCUUCUCCUCACCAGGGUCGCGGGCGUGCUGGAGCCUAUCCCUGCUAUCUUCGAGCGAGAGGCGGGGUACACCCAAUCACAGGGCACAUAUAAACAAACAAUCAUUCACGCUCACAUUCAUACCUAUGGGCAAUUUAGAAUCUUCAAUCAACCUACCACGCAUGUUUUUGGGAUGUGGGAGGAAACCGGAGUGCCCGGAGAAAACCCAUCCAGGCACAGGGAGAACAGGCAAACUCCACACAGGCAGGGCAGGGAUUUGAACCCCGGUCCCCAGAACUGCGAGGUCACCGUGCCGUCUUCUUUUAUGUUAAUUUUAUUUUCAUAAGAAAUUAAAAUGGGUCCCUCAGAUCCCAACACUAUACUGUACAGGGAUUAAGGUAUAACCAUGGGGAUUCACAUGACGUAUACAUCUGUACCCCAAUGCAGCCCUAUGGGGGGUACAAGGCAGUGCAAACUGUAGGCCGGUCCCAAGCCCGAUCAAUGCAGAGGGUUGCGUCAGGAAGGGCAUCCCGCUUAAAACUUUGCCAAACAAAUAUGAACGUUCCUCUAAAGAAUUCCAUACCUGAUCUGUCAUUAACAACGUCCGCCCCCGGCACCGUUAACCUGCAGGGCGCCGGUGGAAAUUCAGCUACUGUGGGGCGAAGACGAAGGAGAGGUGGAAAGCGGGUUCUUAGGCAGAAAGAGAAGAGGAAAGCACUGAGCCUAGAAUUGAAUGUGGCGACUUUGAAUGUUGGGACUAUGACAGGAAAAUCUUGGGAGUUGUUUGACAUGAUGAUUUAAGGUGGCGGUGGGACUGCAUCAGGGAUCAGCCCUAAGCCCCUUCCUGUUUGCAGUGGUGAUGGAUAGUCUGACAGAUGAGGUUAGACUAGAACCCCCGUGGACCAUGAUGUUUGCAGAUGACAUUGUGAUCUGCAGUGAAAGCAGGGAGGAGGUGGAGGAACAGUUAGAAAGAUGGAGGCAUGGACUGGAACGGAGAGGAAUGAAGAUUAGCCGAAGUGAGACAGAAUAUAUGUGCAUGAAUGAGGGGGGUGGAGGGGGAAGUGUGAGGCUACAGGGAGAAGAGAUAGCAAGGGUGGAGGACUUUAAAUACUUGGGGUCAACAGUCCAGAGCAAUGGUGAGUGUGGUCAGGAAGUGAAGAAACGGGACAGCCAAGAUUAGAUAUUUUGGAGGCAAAGUUAGAGAGAGCAGACUUCGAUGGUUCGGACACGUCCAGAGGAGAGAGAGUGAGUAUAUUGGUAGAAGGAUGAUGAGGAUGGAGCUGCCAGGCAAGAGAGCUAGAGGAAGACCAAAGAGAAGGUUGAUGCAUGUUGUGAGGGAAGACAUGAGGGCAGUUGGUGUUUGAGAGAAGGAUGCAGGAGAUAGGCUUACAUGGAAAAGGAUGACACGUUGUGGCGACCCCUAAUGGGACAAGCCGAAAGGAAAAGAAGAAGAAACAUAUGUACCCCCUCCUCUGCAGUGUCUCCAGUUGCAGGAUUUUCCUUAUCAGACGAUUUCUGGGCACUGUAUACAUACACGAUAUCAAACGGGAGAGCUGCAUUUAAGGUUCAAAAUUGCCUAAGGAGAUAUAGCUUCUAUGGACGCUGCCACCUUAUGUGGUCACGAAAUUAGCUUCACUACUGAAAAUUACGUGUUUAAUUAUUCGUUUUAACAAUUAUUCGUACUACGAUUCAUGGUUGCCGAGUCGAUUCAAGGACAAUAUUUGCUCAUCUAGAACGAUAUGAUCCGAAGCAAUUCAGUGGCAUCAAAUUGAUUCACUAACUUUUUAGCCAUACAUUCAACCAGCGUGAUUGUAAAACAAAUACUUGGGUACUGGACAGUGCAGGUGAAAGAUGUGAUUUACUUCUCAGACUGGCCCACUCAAUAGCACCAUAAAAAAACUACACUAUACUCCCAUGAUCCCCUGCGAUGUCACAACAGGAAAACUUACUUGGGUAACGCUUAAGAUCUUUAUCAAAGUGCUAAAACACACACACAUCCAAAUAAUGUCGGCAAUGUGUAAACCCAAUGCAUUAUUUCCUAGUAUCGAUACAAUCGAUUUAUUACAUUUUAAAUGAUUGAAAUCGAUAUAUUUUCGUCCGAAAGGCUAACGAGCCACAGACAGAUCAAUGCAGUUGGAUUGUAGGAAUAUCCUGUAAAUUGAUAUAAUGAAUGAAUCGUUACACCCCUACUGAAAGUUUUAUUAUUAUUAUAUAAGAGUAUAAUACACUUUAACGUUUAAAAAAGUGUCAUAGGACCACGCUACAGAGAAAUGCAGUUAAAGUAGUCACGCCGCUACUUGUAACGCCACUACUGCCCAGCACUGGGUACACCCUCGACUGGUCGUCAGCCAAUCACAGCGCCCUUAAAGACAAACAACCAUUCACACUAACAUUCACACCUUUAAGGAAAAUGUGUUUUCAGGGGGGCUGAAACAGAUGAAUGGCAUCUCAAUUAAUUUCAAUUUGGAAAAUGUAUUCUGUCGCGGUAAUGCUCCCCGCAAACGGAGGUGACAGUGGCUCCCCACGGUUUGAUAAACUGCAGCCUUCAAAGCCGCCCUGCUGUGAGACUCCCACAACAAGACGCUUUGGACCCUAAAGUAAUUCGUAGGUCCCCUCGAAAUCUGGGUUUGCAGUCAUCAAAGAGUUCUUUCUUCAUUUGAACUCAUAACAGGCCAAAAGGGACCGAUCGACAAUGGGAUGGAAAUACAGCAACAAACUAUUUGCACAGCUGUGAGAUUUUGAGAAUUGUUUGUUUUGAUUUGACUCGCAGCAGCAUGAAAUGUGAUUUGAUUCAUAAGCAGUUGAUUUGCCAAAACUAAAGUAUAAACAUUCCAUGUGCUUGACCUGUGAGUAAAGAGAGUACCAAGAUGAGGUUAUUUUAUAUUAAUAUAUGAUUUUAAACCCAUUUUAUCAAAUUUGUAGACAGGAUUCAAGCUGAUGGGUGUGGUCUAACCCAGGGGCUCUUGUGUUUUUGGCUGGCUUCUUAGCUUCCCAGCCACGGGGCGGCCUCUCUUUUGUUCGAGCACACGACUCGGUAACCGCGAGCUCUGGGGGUGGAGACUCGGCUUCCCAGCCUCAAUGUGGGCCACCGCUAGGCGAUCAGAGCAGCUGCUACUAAGGUACCAGGUACGCUUCGAGCCAAGCGUGAUCUCUCUGAAAUUGCCAGCGAGCCACAAAAAAGGCAGGAAAAGACACGGUCAUACUCUCCCAAGGAGGCGUGACGAACAACCAUUUUUCGUCUUCCGCCUCUUUGAGCCUGCGGUCAUGAAUAGACGCGGCAAAACUUUCGCCAGACUGUACAAUGUUAGUGCCGAAUACUUUCGGGGAAAUUACUAGCUUCAGACAAAAUCUCAACUUUGCCCUCUCUCUCUCUCCCGUCUGCACUGGAUGCAGUAAAUCCUCAUGUUUCCAACUUUAGUCCAACACAUGAUGUUCUCGUUCCCUUUUCGUACUCCUAUUUUCCUUAUUUUUGCCAUUCUUAGUGUUAUUUUCUUUCUUUAGUUAGACCCUUUGUGUGUUUCCCUUUAGAUCCCUUGUAGAUGUCAUUAAAUAUACGAUAAAAUUCCA
Long non-coding RNA from Phyllopteryx taeniolatus (common seadragon), 4576 nucleotides. RefSeq lists it as uncharacterized. The transcript has 3 exons. NCBI's taxonomy places the organism in Eukaryota, Metazoa, Chordata, Actinopteri, Syngnathiformes, Syngnathidae. The record is from RefSeq and is a predicted model, not a curated record.